Molecule: ribosomal RNA, 254 nt
Filed under: uncultured bacterium
Lineage: Bacteria
Description: partial 16S ribosomal RNA
Rfam family: Bacterial small subunit ribosomal RNA
Source: RNAcentral
UACGGGGGGAGCAAGCGUUGUUCGGAUUUACUGGGCGUAAAGGGCGCGUAGGCGGCCAGCACAAGUCAGUUGUGAAAUCUCCGAGCUUAACUCGGAAAGGUCAACUGAUACUGUGCGGCUAGAGUGCGGAAGGGGCAACUGGAAUUCUUGGUGUAGCGGUGAAAUGCGUAGAUAUCAGGAGGAACACCAAUUGCGAAGGCAGCUCGCUGGGACGUUACUGACGCUGAGACGCGAAAGCGUGGGGAGCAAACAGG